Phyllostomus hastatus (greater spear-nosed bat) is the source of this 1242-nucleotide non-coding RNA. The record is from the annotation of a RefSeq genome assembly. Lineage: Eukaryota; Metazoa; Chordata; Mammalia; Chiroptera; Phyllostomidae.
UCACGGGCAGGCAGCAGCUGAUCGGGGCAGGGGCAGCCAGGGAGCACCAGCACACCUUAGUCACCCCCCCGUGCAGCCAUGUGGUGGACCUGUCCCCUCUUCUACCUCACCAUCUUCUGCACAGAGGUCUCGCUGGACAUAAUUUUGGAAGCAGACACCAAAAUUCUGACUGUUCUAAUUGGGGAGCCUGCCACCUUCCGCUGCAAUGUAACAGGAGCGGACUUAAAAAAUUAUCAAAUGAGCUGGUAUAAGAAGGAUGAAGAUAACUCCCUGACUUUAGUAUAUAGACUAAGCAACAAUUCUACUGACCAUUUGAAGAGUAAUAUCAAAGGGAAAGUCGACCCUUUAAAAAGUCAGUAUAUACUUGACAUUCAAAAGGCAACAACAAAAGACAUUGGGACUUACUACUGUGGGUCCGAUACCCACAGUGCUGCUCCUCUGCUUCUCACCACCUCAGGAUGCCCGGGGUCAGACCGAGGUGGCAGAUGCGAUUAGAGGCCCUCUUUGGCUAGAAUGUGCACCACACCUUAGAUGAGACCACCUGAUAACCUCCACAGUAACAUCUGAUAAGAGAGACAAGAGCUGAGUUGGGGUUAAGGGCCUUAUCUUUGCAGUUGGUUGAAAGGAGGCUUCUUUAUUGGCCUAGGCGGGCAGAAAAUGCUGUUAGGGCUUAGGUGGAAAGACCAAGGAGAUCUGCACCUGUCUCUCCAGACCCCUGAGGAAAGGUUGAAAAAACAACCUUCGGGACUGAGAAGGCCCGAUCGCUGCGGAGGCGGCUGAGGCGAACAGAAUUUCCACUAUCGUCAGUGCUGUAGCUCAUUCCCGAGUCUUUAUUGAGAAAGCGUUCAUGUGCAUAAACUAGAUAAAGCAAGGACGGUUUCCAUUACCAUCCUAAUCAAAAUUUCCAAAGCCAUUAGAGAUAACUUUAACUCUUACUCUGUGAAGAAAGAUGAAUAGAGUCAUUUUCUGAAAUGUUCCUAUAACCAUUUCAAGUACUGAAUGCUUUAUAUCCUCCCCUAGCUACAGAGGAACCCUGGGUACCUAGGGGGUUGGCUGAGAGAGAUCUCGGAGACAAAUACUUAUGGCAAUGUGGCAUUUAUGAGUUGGUCAUGAAUCAACUGAAUCAGAAAUAUAGGUCCCCCAGCCCCAAGUUGAAACAGGCAGGCCAAAAGUGUCUGACACUACAGGGAGCUAAGCAAGCCCCCAGGGGGAGGAACCCCGCUCCCCCCCUCACCCGGGCAG